Long non-coding RNA from Octopus bimaculoides (California two-spot octopus), 1009 nucleotides. Lineage: Eukaryota; Metazoa; Mollusca; Cephalopoda; Octopoda; Octopodidae. The record is from RefSeq and is a predicted model, not a curated record.
ACGAGGACAGGUGGUGUAAAUAACAAAAGUAUAUAUUAGUAUGACGCUCGGGAAUACGAGAAGUCUUUGACGUUUCGAGCUACGCUCUUCAACAGAAAGAAUACGGAGACAAGGAGAAAAACACGGAGAAAAAAAAUUGAAUAGUGUUCAGUCGGAUCGGCCAGGCUGUCUGGUGCUGAGUCGGCUCCGCUGGCCACACCAUUCGCUCCACUCCCCUCGUGUUCUCACCAUUUUGCUCCAAAAUUUUCCUUAAAUUAUCUUCCCACCUGAUUGGAAGUCUUCUGGGUGGUCUCUGCCGCUCACGCGGGUACCACUCGACAACUGCACGGGUCCGCUGAUCUUCUGUGAACCUUGCGACACGAACAACCCUUCGUAGCUUUGCGUGAUGGUAUUCUGCGACGACGUCCUUCACUCCAUUGGGACGAUGACUUAGCUGACCGAAACAUCGAAGUUACUGUCAACAACGUUCUUGUUGAAGAAUAUUAAAUUUGUUCUCUACAAAAGUAUAGGGUAACUAAAUUAUAUAACCAAGUUUCUGAACGAAGAAAUAAGAGAAAAAACAAGAAAACAAGAAUGAAAUUAAAUGAAUUCUGUCUACAUUAGUCAUAGGGGCUUCACACAUACAUAAAAACAUUGAAUAUUGUUAUCCUCAUGGCUGAAAAAACCCAUAUCAAUGAGGACAUCUCUCAAGAAGAAGACAUAUUAAAUGGACCAUUUCCGGGGAUAGUUCAGAUUUCAGAUCUUCCCGAAUGGUUAGACGACCUUGAACAUAAAGUAGACUGCGUCCUUGAAGCCUUGGCGGAGGGAAACGAGAUCGGGAUACCGUACAGUCUUCCAGUGAUCGAUGAUAGUAUCCUUGAGAUGGUCUUUAGUGCAGAAUUCCAACGUGACUUGGACGAGUUUCUAUCAGACGGCGAAGACGUAGACUUGCAAGCGGAAACUGCAUAUUUAAGUCGGUGUAGCGGUGUAGUCCAAUGACAUGUACUUAUAUAUAUAUUCAUUUCUAAAA